This 491-nucleotide ribosomal RNA is filed under the name uncultured bacterium. RNAcentral's name for it is "partial 16S ribosomal RNA". It matches the Rfam family "Bacterial small subunit ribosomal RNA", at positions 28 to 507 of the family's 1533-position model. The record is from RNAcentral.
GAUGAACGCUGGCUACAGGCUUAACACAUGCAAGUCGAGGGGAAACGCCGGGGAAGCUUGCUUCCCCGGGCGUCGACCGGCGCACGGGUGAGUAACGCGUAUCCAACCUGCCUCUGACUGAGGGAUAACCCGUCGAAAGUCGGCCUAAUACCUCAUGGCAUCGUCUGCGGGCAUCCAACGACGAUUAAAGAUUUCAUCGGUCAGAGAUGGGGAUGCGUCUGAUUAGCUUGUUGGCGGGGUAACGGCCCACCAAGGCGACGAUCAGUAGGGGUUCUGAGAGGAAGGUACCCCACAUUGGAACUGCGACACGGUCCACACUCCUACGGGAGGCAGCAGUGAGGAAUAUUGGUCAAUGGGCGAGAGCCUGAACCAGCCAAGUAGCGUGCAGGAUGACGGCCCUAUGGGUUGUAAACUGCUUUUAUGCGGGGAUAAAGUGAGGGACGUGUCCUUCAUUGCAGGUACCGCAUGAAUAAGGACCGGCUAAUUCCGUG